Molecule: long non-coding RNA, 684 nt
Organism: Triticum dicoccoides
Lineage: Eukaryota; Viridiplantae; Streptophyta; Magnoliopsida; Poales; Poaceae
Exons: 3
Source: RefSeq, a predicted model, not a curated record
CUCUCUCUCCCCUUCCUCCCUUGACUCCAAUCCAGAUCCAGGGCCCCGACAGAGGGCUUCCCACUCCGACCUUGGUGUGCCCUCUUCCCCAUCUCUGCCGGCCACGAUCCCCUCACUUGGCCCGUGGAUCCAUCUCUUGCAUGGCCACCUCCCACACCAUCUCCUCCUUCCCCCAUCUCAUCACUAGGGAAGACAAGGCAAGCAGGAGGGAGUUCGACCGUGUAGGUCAGAUCCAUCCGCCACGACCUCGACGGAGAUGGCCCCGUGGAUGGAGCGGACCUGCAAAUCAUCAAGCCAAGGGCAGCAGGGCUCCAUCUUGUUCUCUUCUCCACAGGGGUCACGCACAGGGCACCACCUACAAGUGAAGAGAAGACCACCGCUCCUCCGGGUCUGCUUCUUCCUACUCUUCAAGGAGUAAUAGGUUAACCGAAUUGGAGAGUAAUGAGGCCAUGAAGGUGUGAAAAAAUGCUCGGUCCUUGUUGGCCAAAACAUGCUCUAGAAUUGGGGAGUGAUGACCAGCCACACGAGGUACAUAUGAGUGAAGCUGCCUUGUUGCCCAGCCCUUGUUUCUCUUGUUACCAUUUGUAUGUAUGCUUCUAUACGUCCAUUUGAUGUGCCGGGCUAAGCCGAAGGUGGUUAGGAAAGGGUUUGCGGAGAGGGCGGGGUUGGCCAAGAACCGCAUGG